GCGGGAAUGGCGGAACUGGCAGACGCGUACGUUUGAGGGGCGUAUGGAUUACUCCGUGUGGGUUCAAGUCCCACUUCCCGCACCA
RNAcentral lists this transfer RNA (85 nucleotides) under Firmicutes bacterium ADurb.Bin153. RNAcentral's name for it is "tRNA-Leu". It matches the Rfam family "tRNA". Rfam says of the family: Transfer RNA (tRNA) molecules are approximately 80 nucleotides in length. Their secondary structure includes four short double-helical elements and three loops (D, anti-codon, and T loops). RNAcentral also lists the same sequence under 1 other name. Lineage: Bacteria; Bacillati; Bacillota. The record is from RNAcentral.